RNAcentral lists this ribosomal RNA (1432 nucleotides) under uncultured organism. Its description in RNAcentral is "partial small subunit ribosomal RNA". It matches the Rfam family "Bacterial small subunit ribosomal RNA". The record is from RNAcentral.
UAACACAUGCAAGUCGAACGGAAAGGCCCUGCUUUUGUGGGGUGCUCGAGUGGCGAACGGGUGAGUAACACGUGAGUAACCUGCCCUUGACUUUGGGAUAACUUCAGGAAACUGGGGCUAAUACCGGAUAGGAGCUCCUGCUGCAUGGUGGGGGUUGGAAAGUUUCGGCGGUUGGGGAUGGACUCGCGGCUUAUCAGCUUGUUGGUGGGGUAGUGGCUUACCAAGGCUUUGACGGGUAGCCGGCCUGAGAGGGUGACCGGCCACAUUGGGACUGAGAUACGGCCCAGACUCCUACGGGAGGCAGCAGUGGGGAAUAUUGCACAAUGGGCGGAAGCCUGAUGCAGCAACGCCGCGUGCGGGAUGACGGCCUUCGGGUUGUAAACCGCUUUCGCCUGUGACGAAGCGUGAGUGACGGUAAUGGGUAAAGAAGCACCGGCUAACUACGUGCCAGCAGCCGCGGUGAUACGUAGGGUGCGAGCGUUGUCCGGAUUUAUUGGGCGUAAAGGGCUCGUAGGUGGUUGAUCGCGUCGGAAGUGUAAUCUUGGGGCUUAACCCUGAGCGUGCUUUCGAUACGGGUUGACUUGAGGAAGGUAGGGGAGAAUGGAAUUCCUGGUGGGGCGGUGGAAUGCGCAGAUAUCAGGAGGAACACCAGUGGCGAAGGCGGUUCUCUGGGCCUUUCCUGACGCUGAGGAGCGAAAGCGUGGGGAGCGAACAGGCUUAGAUACCCUGGUAGUCCACGCUGUAAACGGUGGGUACUAGGUGUGGGGUCCAUUCCACGGGUUCCGUGCCGUAGCUAACGCUUUAAGUACCCCGCCUGGGGAGUACGGCCGCAAGGCUAAAACUCAAAGGAAUUGACGGGGCCCCGCGCAAGCGGCGGAGCAUGCGGAUUAAUUCGAUGCAACGCGUAGAACCUUACCUGGGUUUGACAUGGAUCGGGAGUGCUCAGAGAUGGGUGUGCCUCUUUUGGGGUCGGUUCACAGGUGGUGCAUGGCUGUCGUCAGCUCGUGUCGUGAGAUGUUGGGUUAAGUCCCGCAACGAGCGCAACCCUUGUUCACUGUUGCCAGCACGUUAUGGUGGGGACUCAGUGGAGACCGCCGGGGUCAACUCGGAGGAAGGUGGGGAUGACGUCAAGUCAUCAUGCCCCUUAUGUCCAGGGCUUCACGCAUGCUACAAUGGCUGGUACAGAGAGUGGCGAGCCUGUGAGGGUGAGCGAAUCUCGGAAAGCCGGUCUCAGUUCGGAUUGGGGUCUGCAACUCGACCUCAUGAAGUCGGAGUCGCUAGUAAUCGCAGAUCAGCAACGCUGCGGUGAAUACGUUCCCGGGGCUUGUACACACCGCCCGUCAAGUCAUGAAAGUUGGUAACACCCGAAGCCGGUGGCCUAACCGUUGUGGGGGAGCCGUCGAAGGUGGGACUGGUGAUUAGGACUAAGUGA